Small nuclear RNA from Artibeus jamaicensis (Jamaican fruit-eating bat), 107 nucleotides. Lineage: Eukaryota; Metazoa; Chordata; Mammalia; Chiroptera; Phyllostomidae. The record is from RefSeq and is a predicted model, not a curated record.
GUGCUUGCUUUGGCAGUAUAUAUACUAAAAUUGGAACAAUAUGGAGAAGAUUAGCAUGGCCCCUGUGCAAGAAUGACACACAAAUUUGUGAAGCAUUCUAUAUUUUU